RNAcentral lists this non-coding RNA (30 nucleotides) under Rattus norvegicus (Norway rat). The record is from RNAcentral. Lineage: Eukaryota; Metazoa; Chordata; Mammalia; Rodentia; Muridae.
UAGCUAGGUCUUAGUUACCAAAAUAGGAGC